UACGGAGGAUGCGAGCGUUAUCCGGAUUUAUUGGGUUUAAAGGGUGCGUAGGCGGCUUGGUAAGCGUGAGGUGAAAUGCCAUUGCUCAACAUUGGAACUGCCUCGCGAACUGUCUGGCUUGAAUGUCCGUGCCGUGGGAGGAAUGUGUGGUGUAGCGGUGAAAUGCAUAGAGAUCACACAGAACACCGAUUGCGAAGGCAUCUCACGAACGGGCGAUUGACGCUGAUGCACGAAAGCGUGGGGAU
Molecule: ribosomal RNA, 245 nt
Filed under: uncultured Falsiporphyromonas sp.
Lineage: Bacteria; Pseudomonadati; Bacteroidota; Bacteroidia; Bacteroidales; Porphyromonadaceae
Description: partial 16S ribosomal RNA
Rfam family: Bacterial small subunit ribosomal RNA
Source: RNAcentral